GGUUGCAUGGUGUAAGGAGCAGUGCUCACAACUUUGAAUUCUGUAAUCUGAGUUCAAAUCUCAGUGGGACCU
This 72-nucleotide transfer RNA is filed under the name Pelodiscus sinensis (Chinese soft-shelled turtle). It matches the Rfam family "tRNA". Rfam says of the family: Transfer RNA (tRNA) molecules are approximately 80 nucleotides in length. Their secondary structure includes four short double-helical elements and three loops (D, anti-codon, and T loops). Further hydrogen bonds mediate the characteristic L-shaped molecular structure. tRNAs have two regions of fundamental functional importance: the anti-codon, which is responsible for specific mRNA codon recognition, and the 3' end, to which the tRNAs corresponding amino acid is attached (by aminoacyl-tRNA synthetases). tRNAs cope with the degeneracy of the genetic code in two manners: having more than one tRNA (with a specific anti-codon) for a particular amino acid; and 'wobble' base-pairing, i.e. permitting non-standard base-pairing at the 3rd anti-codon position. Lineage: Eukaryota; Metazoa; Chordata; Testudines; Trionychidae. The record is from Rfam by way of RNAcentral.